ACGAACGCUGGCGGCGUGCUUAACACAUGCAAGUCGAGCGGAAAGGCCCUUCGGGGUACUCGAGCGGCGAACGGGUGAGUAACACGUGAGUAACCUACCUCGAACUCUGGGAUAAGCCUGGGAAACUGGGUCUAAUACCGGAUGUUCAUCUCCUGCUGCAUGGUGGGGGAUGGAAAGUGUUUAGCGGUUCGGGAUGGGCUCGCGGCCUAUCAGCUUGUUGGUGAGGUAAUGGCUUACCAAGGCUUUUACGGGUAGCCGGCCUGAGAGGGCGACCGGCCACACUGGGACUGAGAGACGGCCCAGACUCCUACGGGAGGCGGGGGUGGGGAAUAUUGCGCAAUGGGCGGAAGCCUGACGCAGCAACGCCGUGUGAGGGAUGACGGCCUUCGGGUUGUAAACCUCUUUCACCAGGGACGAAGCUUUUGUGACGGUACCUGGGGAAGAAGCGCCGGCCAACUACGUGCCAGCAGCCGCGGUAACACGUAGGGCGCGAGCGUUGUCCGGAAUUAUUGGGCGUAAAGGGCUCGUAGGCGGUUUGUCGCGUCGAAAGUGAAAAUCCCGGGGCUCAACUCCGGACUUGCUUUCGAUACGGGCAGGCUAGAGGUAGGCAGGGGAGAAUGGAAUUCCUGGUGUAGUGGUGGAAUGCGCAGAUAUCAGGAGGAACACCGGUGGCGAAGGCGGUUCUCUGGGCCUUACCUGACGCUGAGGAGCGAAAGCGUGGGGAGCGAACAGGAUUAGAUACCCUGGUAGUCCACGCUGUAAACGUUGGGCGCUAGGUGUGGGAGUCUUUUGUGACGUCCGUGCCGUAGCUAACGCAUUAAGCGCCCCGCCUGGGGAGUACGGUCGCAAGACUAAAACUCAAAGGAAUUGACGGGGGCCCGCACAAGCGGCGGAGCAUGUUGCUUAAUUCGAGGCAACGCGAAGAACCUUACCUGGGUUUGACAUGUGGGUUAAUCCGGCAGAGAUGUCGGGUCCUUUUGGGAACUCAUGCAGGUGGUGCAUGGCUGUCGUCAGCUCGUGUCGUGAGAUGUUGGGUUAAGUCCCGCAACGAGCGCAACCCUCGUCCUAUGUUGCCAGCACGUUAUGGUGGGGACUCAUAGGAGACUGCCGGGGUCAACUCGGAGGAAGGUGGGGAUGAUGUCAAGUCUUCAUGCCCCUUAUGUCCAGGGCUGCAAACAUGCUACAAUGGUCGGUACAAUGGGCUGCGAGACCGUGAGGUGGAGCGAAUCCCUAAAAGCCGGCCUCAGUUCGGAUCGGGGUCUGCAACUCGACCCCGUGAAGUUGGAGUCGCUAGUAAUCGCGGAUCAGCAACGCCGCGGUGAAUACGUUCCCGGGCCUUGUACUCACCGC
RNAcentral lists this ribosomal RNA (1350 nucleotides) under uncultured bacterium. RNAcentral describes it as "bacterial SSU rRNA". It matches the Rfam family "Bacterial small subunit ribosomal RNA", at positions 29 to 1393 of the family's 1533-position model. The record is from RNAcentral.